RNAcentral lists this ribosomal RNA (120 nucleotides) under uncultured bacterium. RNAcentral describes it as "partial 16S ribosomal RNA". It matches the Rfam family "Bacterial small subunit ribosomal RNA", at positions 215 to 334 of the family's 1533-position model. The record is from RNAcentral.
UCGUGUCGGGAGGGGCUCGCGGGCUAUCAGCUUGUUGGUGAGGUAACGGCUCACCAAGGCGACGACGGCUAGGGGGUCUGAGAGGACGACCCCCCACAUUGGGACUGAGACACGGCCCAG